RNAcentral lists this ribosomal RNA (501 nucleotides) under uncultured bacterium. Its description in RNAcentral is "partial 16S ribosomal RNA". It matches the Rfam family "Bacterial small subunit ribosomal RNA", at positions 29 to 523 of the family's 1533-position model. The record is from RNAcentral.
AUUGAACGCUGGCGGCAUGCCUUACACAUGCAAGUCGAACGGCAGCACGGGUGCUUGCACCUGGUGGCGAGUGGCGAACGGGUGAGUAAUACAUCGGAACGUACCUUAUCGUGGGGGAUAACGCAGCGAAAGCUGUGCUAAUACCGCAUACGCCCUGAGGGGGAAAGCGGGGGAUCGCAAGACCUCGCGCGAUUAGAGCGGCCGAUGCCUGAUUAGCUAGUUGGUGGGGUAAAAGCCCACCAAGGCGACGAUCAGUAGCUGGUCUGAGAGGACGAUCAGCCACACUGGGCGUGAGACACGGCCCAGACUCCUACGGGAGGCAGCAGUGGGGAAUGUUGGACAAUGGGGGCAACCCUGAUCCAGCAAUGCCGCGUGAGUGAAGAAGGCCUUCGGGUUGUAAAGCUCUUUUGUCAGGGAAGAAACACCGGCUCUAACACAGUCCGGGAAUGACGGUACCUGAAGAAUAAGCACCGGCUAACUACGCGCCAGCCGCCGCCGUAA